Acinonyx jubatus (cheetah) is the source of this 3613-nucleotide long non-coding RNA. RefSeq lists it as uncharacterized. Lineage: Eukaryota; Metazoa; Chordata; Mammalia; Carnivora; Felidae. The record is from RefSeq and is a predicted model, not a curated record. The transcript is spliced from 4 exons.
GGGCACGGGGACGAUGAGGAUUUGAACGCCCUAAGCCAGGAAGGGCCUAGAGAGACAGUGAUGGUCACCCUUGAACCCUGCGAGGAGGACAGGGGUCUCAACUGCCGAAAACCCACCACGGACCCCCCCGCCCCCCCCCCCCCCGCCAUCGCCCACGGGCCUGCUCCCUGGCCAGCCCAAGCCUCAGAGCCCAGUCUGACCCCAAGGUCCCCAAGCUUUUCACUCUAUUCCUUUGAGGUGCCACACCCUUUCCCCCCUGGGGGAUUCUGCGCAUUCUGUUCCCUCCCCAGAUGCCCUUCCGGUCACCUCCUCCAGGAAGCCGGCCUCACCCCACCCGCUGCUUGAAGCCAUCUGUUGAACAUCAGAAAGCAGGUCUGUCUCAGUCACGGUCAUGGCGGUGUCCCUGGCACAGAGCCCAGCUCACAGGAAGGGUCCGGGAAGCGUUUGCUAAACAGAGGAGGGAAGGGUUCAGGGCUGUGCCUUUGAGCCCAGAUGUUUCUUCUUGCCUUGCUGGGGAGACCCUGGCCGAGUGGGUUGCUUCCCGCUCUGCGCCCUGUUUCCCCGGGAUGGGGAGUGAGGGGAGGUUUUCUGGGCCACUGGUGAAAUCUACCCUGCUGGGUUUCAUUUCAGCCGAGUCGGUAAAUAUUUGGUCCUCUGCGGCCAGCAGCAUCUAGGCGGGGGAAGCUUCAGUGCCUUUUACGAGCCUUCCCGCAGGCGCCUAACGCGAGGUUUCCGUGGCGGGGUAUGUGGGACGCCCAGGCAGCGUCACAGCUGGCUGCCGUGAGGUGAGUAGGACUGUGGGGCCGCAAGAAGCCACCAGAGGCGUCUGGCACUUAACCCCGCCGUGCGCGGCAUCGGGAGGCCAGACCCAGGCCUCUCGUUUUGCAAACGGCUAAUGCCACAUCAUGAGAUGACAGGCGGGGUUGAAGUGGAGACUGAGCAGCAUCCCCUCCCAAGUCCGAAGGACAUACUGAAUCCUUAGGGGGAGGUAUUUCCGGCAAGGAGGUGGAAGGCCUUGUGUACGUGUAGCUCUUCUCGAAGAAUCAAAGGCCACUCUUGACCAUCAAAGGCGAAGCACCUGCUGUGUGCGGAGUACUGAGCAGUGUAAAUGCCCCGCCUCCUUGGGUCCUCAGAAAUCACGCAGCCCCUGUUACACUGACACAAGUCAGAGGGGUUCAAGGUAACUGGCUUGAGGUCACCCAGCUGGCGAGGGGCAGAGCUGUUGAGUCUGACCUUCCGGCCUGGCUUGGUCUCAUCACCCAACCCUCCCCGGCAAGGGCCACCGUCUGGAUACCCUGGAAACCACGGCGCUUCUCAAUGGUCAGGAUCCCAGGGGCGACUGGAAGGAAGGCCUGAAUCAGACCAGCAGUUCUGAGUUGGGGCCUGGGAACCUGCACGGGAAGCUGGCAUCUGCCUCCGCCCCAGAGAGAGACAGAGCAGGAGCAGGGGAGGGGCAGAGAGAGAAGGAGACACAGAAUCCGAAGCAGGUUCCAGGCUCCGAGCUGUCAGCACAGAGCCCGACGCGGGGCUCGAACCCACGAGCUGUGAGAUCAUGACCUGAACCGAAGUCUGACGCUCAACUGACUGAGCCACCCAGGCGCCUCGACCCCUAUUUAUUUUUUUAAAGUAAUCUCUGCACCCAACGCAGAGGGCUCGAUCUCACCACCCCCAGAUCAUGAGUCGCACACUCUACCACUGACCACGCCAGCUGCCCCAGACCAUCUUUGCAGCGGCGGUCGUCCGCUGAUCUGCUGACCUCGUCAGCCCUGAAGCACAAGGGAACCUACGUCUUGAAACGCCUGCCGCUGGAGACACAGCUGAGAACGAGACAGCGUAUGCCUGCGGACGUUGACAUUCUGGUGCCAGCUGCGGACAGAACGCGAUGAGGACAGGCAGGUGUGACAGUGACCAGGUGGGAAGGGAGACCUCGGGGUGGGUGGAAUCUGAGCCCCGACCUUCAAGGUCGGAAGGGGCGGUCGGCGUGGCCAGUGCCACGGCACGGCCCUCACUUCACUGGAUCCUGUCCUGAGAGCUUCCCGCGGAGCAGGACGGGGUCCCGUUGGGCCAGGAUUUGCUGCCGGAGGCGACACUGGUGGCAACAAGUAACGAGCCAGUAGCAAGCCAACAGCCACGGGCCAUCCUGCUGCUCCCGGUCACCUGCCUUUCCGGGAGCGAUCUGGGGGCCUCAGCACUGCUUUCACCUUCGCGGGGGCCACUUCCAGCCCCGAUGGCAUCAGGGACACCGGAAGUUACCCUUGAGGUCAACUCCAAAGGUGAGGCGCACACACAGAGUAGCGAGUCACCCUCGAGUCCGGCCUGCAGGGAGGAACUGUCACUUCAGCACCACGUGACCUCAGUACGUGGCCCCCGCAUCCCAGGGUGGACCCACGAGCAAGUGUCUGUCGGGCGCUGUCGGGCUGCGAGGAGGUCCUGGAUUCCCAGGGGGGUCCAAUCUGAUGACACGAACCCUUAAACUUAGAGGCUCUUCCCUGCCUGUGGUCGGAGAAGGGACUCCGGCAAGGCCGGGCUCUGCGGCGGAUAGGCGAGGGGUGGGGACAGGGCGCGGGAGGGGGACCUGGAAACCCAGGGCACCUGUUCCUGUGCCGCAGCCUCCCCAAGGAACCGGCCCUGCCCACCCUGAAGUGUGGGGCUUCUGGCCUCCAAAACCAGGGGAUGAUGAGUUGGUGCUGUUUCGAGUCACUACGUUUGUCGUAAUUUGUUAGGGCAGCCGCAGGAAAAAGCACACACCCAGUUAUCCUGCAAGUAUUGUGUGAAACGCUCCAAUCCCAAAAUGAGCACAGCACUCUGGGGACAGGAGGAGAUCACCGUGGCUGAGAACCCGGCGCCCCAGCGAGCAAAGGAGGCUGCCAGCACACGGGGUGGGGUGGGCCUGCUGUGGCCAUCCAUCAAAUCCUGCCCGGAUGAAGGCAGCACACACCCCUUUGAGACACGGGAAAGCAGUGGGCUCCAGAAGGGGCCUCAAAACUUCUUCCAGGUUCUCUGAACAGCACGAGCAAGCACCCCAGGACCUUUUCCUGAAGGGCCUCCCAGUGCCUGUCAACAUUAAGCACUUACUGUAAGGAGGCCAAAGCAGAGGGACCAUGAACUCCCUGCGGGAAGACAAGGCAGAUGGGGUGGAUCCUGAGCCCGCCCUCCUGGCCUCCACACCCAGUGCUUCCUGCUCCGAUGGUAACCCACAGAACCCCCAUCUUCAAAAAAUACUUUUAGUGGCUCUGGGCGGCUCAGUCGGUCAAGUGUCUGACUUCGGCUCAGGUCAUGAUCUCGUGGUUCGUGGGUUCGAGCCCUGCGUCGGGCUCUGUGCGGACAGCUCGGAGCCUGGACCCUGCUUCGGAUUCUGUGUCUCCCUCUCUCUCUGACCCUCCCCUGCUCGCGCUCGGCGUCUCUCUCUCAACAUUUUUUAAAUUGUGAUAAAAUACACAUAAAAUGUAACCAUUUCUAAGUGCACAGGUCAGCAGCACCAAGCACAUUCACACUGUCGUGCAGCCACCCCCACCAGCGGUGUCCAGAACUUUCCAUCUCCCCAAACUGAGACUCUGUCGCCAUGAAGCACUGACUCCCCGCCCCCCACCCCCACCCCACCCCUGGCUCCCAC